Molecule: RNA transcript, 533 nt
Organism: Enhydra lutris kenyoni (northern sea otter)
Lineage: Eukaryota; Metazoa; Chordata; Mammalia; Carnivora; Mustelidae
Gene name: histidine triad nucleotide-binding protein 1 pseudogene
Exons: 1
Source: RefSeq, a predicted model, not a curated record
AGGCUGAGAUGGCAGAUGAGAUCGCCAAGGCUCAGGCCGCGCGGCCUGGUGGCGACACAAUCUUCGGGAAGAUCAUUCGCAAGGAAAUCCCAGCCAAAAUCAUUUUUGAGGAUGACCAGUGUCUUGCUUUCCAUGACAUUUCCCCUCAAGCACCAACUCAUUUUCUGGUGAUACCCAAGAAACAUAUAUCCCAGAUUUCUGUAGCAGAAGAUGAUGAUGAAAGUCUUCUUGGACAUUUAAUGAUUGUUGGCAAGAAAUGUGCUGCGGAUUUGGGCCUGAAGAAGGGUUAUCGAAUGGUGGUGAAUGAAGGUUCAGAUGGGGGACAGUCUGUCUAUCAUGUUCAUCUCCGUGUUCUUGGAGGUCGGCAGAUGAAUUGGCCUCCUGAUUAAGCUUGUUUUAGGGAUGAUUUUCCCUCCUCGAGGCAGUGGUCAAUAUUUCCCAGUUCUGCAGGUUAAACAAUGUACUUCCUUUUGCCUAUGUAUGGAGAGAUUGAGGAAAUAAUUUUUAAAAUCCAUACAUAAUAAAAGGCAAUG